AUAUGCAGUUCGCGGUGAUAGAUAUGAAUUUAAGUAUGAAAAAUUUCUUGAACUGCAUUGUUAUUAUUGUAAAACUAGUUUUCAAUGUUAAUUGUAUUGUGUAUUUUUGUUAUAGUAUUUGCAUUCCCAUUACACUUAAAGGCAUCAUUUCUCUUGAAGGACUCGCAUGUUGUUGAAAGUUCGAGACGCGGAUGGAAGAUGCUGUCAUUAUCGCUCGUUAAAAGAUGACCGACAUGAGGAAGAGGACGGGAUGGCAGAGGAACCACAGGAAGCAUCCCUGCAGAACACAAGGAACACCACAUGACCACCUGAGGAACUGUCGCGACAGCCGUGGACGCCGGAGACUGUUCCCACUGUAGAGGUCUGGACUGAGGCUUCCUGCCCCGGCUCAGAGUCCAGCCCAUGCACAGACUCAGUAACAUGUACAGCAUGGACACCUGGGACACCAUAUCCCAGACUGCACAGGGAACAAAAAGUUCUUGAACGCAUCAUGUGUAAGGAACGCCUAUGCAGCAACGCCAUCCUGCUGUGUAAACAUGGUGGGCACCCUUCGAUCUCCCCCCAGCUUUACCUGAUUCUACCUGGCCAGGUGGAUGUAGUUGCAGAGAGCGGAGCAGGCCUGUAACGCCAGCGCUGUUGUCAGCACUUUGAGGACGGUGUGCAUGGGACCUCCUUUCCUCAGAGCCUGGUACAGAGGCUGGAUGUAGAUGCAG
Molecule: long non-coding RNA, 713 nt
Organism: Epinephelus moara (kelp grouper)
Lineage: Eukaryota; Metazoa; Chordata; Actinopteri; Perciformes; Serranidae
Exons: 5
Source: RefSeq, a predicted model, not a curated record